Rhipicephalus sanguineus (brown dog tick) is the source of this 312-nucleotide long non-coding RNA. RefSeq lists it as uncharacterized. The transcript has 5 exons. NCBI's taxonomy places the organism in Eukaryota, Metazoa, Arthropoda, Arachnida, Ixodida, Ixodidae. The record is from RefSeq and is a predicted model, not a curated record.
AGAUCUUGCCGAUUUCAACGUUUUUCCACCUCUUCGGUUGGCGUACGCUGAACUGGACCCUCGCAGCAAGAAUGGCACGUGGGAAUUGACACCGCGAUCGUGGAACACAUGGCUGAUCUGCCUCGAAUAACUGCAAGCCGGCGCGUGCGUAGUGCCGUGGAGAACAAUCAGAAGUCCUGGACGACAAAGAAAAAAACUUCAAAGCUGCCUCUGCGAACCCCGCUCCUGGACAACAGCUGGGAGGCUCUGUGUUUAAACGCGUGCACCUUGGACGUCAUGCUCCUGCCUCUGCAAGCCCUUUUGCUGGACGCC